UACGCAGGCGGGCUUGUAAGUCAGUGGUGAAAUUCUGCCGCUUAACGGUAGAACUGCCAUUGAUACUGCAAGUCUUGAAUAUGGUUGAGGUAGGCGGAAUGUGUUGUGUAGCGGUGAAAUGCAUAGAUAUGACACAGAACGCCAAUUGCGAAGGCAGCUUACUAAGCCAUUAUUGACGCUGAGGCACGAAAGCGUGGGGAGCGAACAGGAUUAGAUACCCUGGUAGUC
RNAcentral lists this ribosomal RNA (228 nucleotides) under uncultured bacterium. RNAcentral describes it as "partial 16S ribosomal RNA". It matches the Rfam family "Bacterial small subunit ribosomal RNA", at positions 568 to 795 of the family's 1533-position model. The record is from RNAcentral.